GACGAACGCUGGCGGCGUGCUUAACACAUGCAAGUCGAACGACGAGCGAUGGAAGCUUGCUUCUAUCAGUCUUAGUGGCGAACGGGUGAGUAACGCGUAAUCAACCUGCCCUUUUGAGGGGGACAACAGUUGGAAACGACUGCUAAUACCGCAUACGAUCUAAUCUCGGCAUCGAGGAGAGAUGAAAGGUGGCCUCUACAUGUAAGCUCUCACUGAAGGAGGGGAUUGCGCCUGGUUAGCUAGUUGGAGGGGUAACGGCCCACCAAGGCGAGGAUCAGUAGCCGGGCUGGGAGGAUGAACGGCCACAUUGGGACUGAGACACGGCCCAGACUCCUACGGGAGGCAGCAGGGGGGAAUCUUUCGCAAUGGACGAAAGUCUGACGGAGCAACGCCGCGUGAGUGAUGACGGCCUUCGGGUUGGAAAGCUCUGUUAAUCGGGACGAAAGGCCUUCUUGCGAAUAGUGAGAAGGAUUGACGGUACCGGAAGAGAAAGCCACGGCUAACUACGUG
Molecule: ribosomal RNA, 510 nt
Filed under: uncultured bacterium
Lineage: Bacteria
Description: partial 16S ribosomal RNA
Rfam family: Bacterial small subunit ribosomal RNA
Source: RNAcentral